This 494-nucleotide ribosomal RNA is filed under the name uncultured bacterium. Its description in RNAcentral is "partial 16S ribosomal RNA". It matches the Rfam family "Bacterial small subunit ribosomal RNA", at positions 28 to 507 of the family's 1533-position model. The record is from RNAcentral.
GACGAACGCUGGCGGCGCGCUUAACACAUGCAAGUCGAACGGAAAGGCCUGCUUUCCCUUGUGGAUUGCGGGUACUCGAGUGGCGAACGGGUGAGUAACACGUGAGUGAUCUGCCCCCAACUUGGGUAUAAGCCUGGGAAACUGGGUCUAAUUCCCGAUAGGACUGCAGGGUGGUGCCUGUGGUGGAAAACGAUUUUCUAAUGGUUGGGGAUGAGCUCGCGGCCUAUCAGCUUGUUGGUGGGGUAAUGGCCUACCAAGGCGGCGACGGGUAGCCGGCCUGAGAGGGUGGACGGCCACAUUGGGACUGAGAUACGGCCCAGACUCCUACGGGAGGCAGCAGUGGGGAAUAUUGCACAAUGGGCGGAAGCCUGAUGCAGCGACGCCGCGUGGGGGAUGACGGCCUUCGGGUUGUAAACUCCUUUCGACCGCGAGGAAGCCACCUGGUUGGAAGGGUGGUGACGGUAGUGGUAGAAGAAGCACCGGCUAACUACGUG